Molecule: ribosomal RNA, 497 nt
Filed under: uncultured bacterium
Lineage: Bacteria
Description: partial 16S ribosomal RNA
Rfam family: Bacterial small subunit ribosomal RNA
Source: RNAcentral
GAUGAACGCUGGCGGCGUGCCUAAUACAUGCAAGUCGAGCGAACAGACGAGGAGCGUGCUCCUCUGACGUUAGCGGCGGACGGGUGAGUAACACGUGGAUAACCUACCUAUAAGACUGGGAUAACUUCGGGAAACCGGAGCUAAUACCGGAUAAUAUAUUGAACCGCAUGGUUCAAUAGUGAAAGACGGUUUUGAUGUCACUUAUAGAUGGAUCCGCGCCGGAUUAGCUAGUUGGUAAGGUAACGGCUUACCAAGGCAACGAUGCGUAGCCGACCUGAGAGGGUGAUCGGCCACACUGGAACUGAGACACGGUCCAGACUCCUACGGGAGGCAGCAGUAGGGAAUCUUCCGCAAUGGGCGAAAGCCUGACGGAGCAACGCCGCGUGAGUGAUGAAGGUCUUCGGAUCGUAAAACUCUGUUAUUAGGGAAGAACAACUGUGUAAGUAACUAUGCACGUCUUGACGGUACCUAAUCAGAAAGCCACGGCUAACUACGUG